RNAcentral lists this long non-coding RNA (832 nucleotides) under Phaseolus vulgaris (common bean). RNAcentral's name for it is "long non-coding RNA (PVUL_LNC004435)". The record is from RNAcentral. Lineage: Eukaryota; Viridiplantae; Streptophyta; Magnoliopsida; Fabales; Fabaceae.
UUUCUUCUUCUUUCUCGUGACUUGCCUGAGUAAAGAUGUAAGUUCAGUGAAAAUCACUAACAUCUUCAAGAACUACACCGACGAAGCAAACAACAGUCAGAGAGAGAUGGUCAGUAUUCAUUGUGAUUCUCCUUCAUCCUCUCGUUCUUAGUCCUAACAACAUUCUAAACCCUAAAUAAAUUUGUUGCCAUCCCCAAAUUUUGACUCGGAGUGGCUAACAGCAAUUAUGUUGUGGCUGAGAUCUGCAGUGAACAAAAUCUUGCUCGUGCCUCAACGCUUUUACUGCUUCCGCGUUUUCAUUCUCAUCUCUUUUCAACUUCAGAUCUAUUUCUUCAUCGGUAUGUCCUUUCUUUCUCUUCAUUUUCCGAUUCAUUCCUCACUCGCAAUUGCUCUUGAUUUUCGAAUCAUUCUCUUUUUUUUAUCAUAGAUAUUCAAAUUGUUACUAGAUCCGUAUUUGGUUAUGUAUUUUUUUUUUUUUGAAUUGGAGGCUUAGGUCUAACCGUUGAUUCAAUAUCUAUUUUUAUUCACUGUACUGUCUUCAAUUCUUAGCCGCAUUGAUCCCUCUGUGUUUGUUUAAUUUUGGAUUAUUGCUAACUAACUAGUUUUUUUAGUUGAUUCAAUAUCUAUUUUUAUUCACUGUACUGUCUUCAAUUCUUAGCCGCAUUGAUCCCUCUGUGUUUGUUUAAUUUUGGAUUAUUGCUAACUAACUAGUUUUUUUAGUGUAUUAACUCUUUGAUUUUAUCUCUAGGUUUGAUUGCUAAUGUUAAGUUCUUUUCUGGCUGUGAUUAAUAUAUUCGUGAAUUUUUCAAUCUAGUUUCGAUUGAUACCAAUC